This 1344-nucleotide long non-coding RNA is filed under the name Homo sapiens (human). Its description in RNAcentral is "non-protein coding lnc-KLF7-1:5". Lineage: Eukaryota; Metazoa; Chordata; Mammalia; Primates; Hominidae. The record is from RNAcentral.
AGCCGCUGCAAAUCUUAUCCUUCCUCCCUCCAGGUUUUCUUCAGUGUCGAAAUUGGUAUGGAGACGUGGAUGGAGAUUUGAGUCUUAGGAAUUUGGGAAGAGCUCAAGUGAUUCAGAAUGAAAAGACCUUGGCACAGACCUGUUAAGGAAGCUCCAUAUAAGGGCCACCGGGGUUGGCUGAGUCAGAAUACCAGCCAUGUGGCAUGUCGCAUGGGGCAAGAGCUGUGCUGCCCAUGGGAGUCCAGAGAAGGAGCACACUAAGGACCAACACCAGAGAGAAGACAGCUGUCUGCAAACCAGAAAGAGAGUCCUCACUGCACUUCAUAUCUGCCAAUGGAUCCUUGCUCUUGAACCUCCCAACCUGCAGAAUCAUGAGAAACAAACAUUGUCAUUUGCUCUAGGGGAAGCCUGCAGCUAUGUCAUGAGGACCCUCAACAGCCCUGUGCAGAGGACUAUGUGGCAUGAAAGAUACCUUCUGCCAACAACCAGCCCCAACUUGCCAAGCAUGUGAACAAGCUAAACUGAAAGCAGAUCUUCAGCCCCAAUCAAGCCUUCAGAUGACAGUAACCUCAGCCAAUAUACUGACUAUAACCUCAUAAAAGACCCUGAACCAGAACCCUCUAAGCCACUCUCAAACUCUACCCCACAUAAACUGUGAAAUAAUAUAUGUUUAUUGUUAUUUUGGGCCACUAAGUUUAGGGGUAAUUUGUUAUGCAGCAAUUAUAUAACCAAUAUUCCAACUAAAGCUGAAAUGCCUCCUGCAUUUCCUCCCUCAGUGGCCUACACUACAAUCCAAGUUCAGGAAAAAACGAGAACCUUAUUUAAGGUAGUGGCAAGAAAUGAAUGGAUUAACUGGACAUUUAAAAAGUAUUUGAUAGAACUUGGUGAUAGGAGGUGGGGCAGUUAGGGACUAGCAGGAAUUUAGGAUGAGAGGCUCAUUCAGUUGGGCUUAUGUUUUACUGAGGUCAAUUCCAAAAGGAAGGAAAGAAAAAUCCAGCCAAAUAACCUUUAAUGGACUAAGUCUUCUUUCAUAAGUCAGUUUGCACAACUUCUUCACAGGAAUCAGAUUUUAAAUAUCAUAACUGAAGAGAAAAAAAACAGCAAGAGGAGUUUACCUUUAUGGUGGAAUGACACUAAUCUUUCAUGCUUUCAAAUUUCUUGAAAUUUCCUUCGUAUGCAUUAUCUUAUUUGCUGUUCACAGUAAAACUGUGUAUUGGCUAAGCCAGUUUUUAUGAAAAUAUAAGCAGUGAGAAAAAGUAAGAUAGUAUGUCAGUUAGUAGAUUUUUUUAUGGACAUUGUGACAGAGGACACAACUUAAACUGGCUUUUUUUUUUUUUUUUUUUU